Molecule: transfer RNA, 77 nt
Filed under: Canis lupus familiaris (dog)
Lineage: Eukaryota; Metazoa; Chordata; Mammalia; Carnivora; Canidae
Also listed under: 1 other name
Rfam family: tRNA
About the family: Transfer RNA (tRNA) molecules are approximately 80 nucleotides in length.
Source: Rfam by way of RNAcentral
ACCUGGAUGGCUCAGUGGUUGAGCAUCUGACUUCAGCUCAGGCCGUGAUGUCCUGGGAUCGAGUCCCACAUCAGGUU